Non-coding RNA from Miniopterus natalensis, 528 nucleotides. The record is from RefSeq and is a predicted model, not a curated record. Lineage: Eukaryota; Metazoa; Chordata; Mammalia; Chiroptera; Miniopteridae.
CUAAAGCGCAAGAGCAGCGAUGCUGGCCGUCAGGCAUGGAAAGGAGAAGCCGUGAACGUGCUUCCUUUAAGUGAAAGCUUUCCUCCAAUCAGUUCUCUCCAGAUUACACUUUAAAAAUAGAAAGUUGUGCAUAAGCCUGCUUCAAACCCUCCUGCAGUUGGCUCCUCCACUUUGAACAAGGUUGUGCUACUGAGGAUUAUAGAAAUAUCCCCAUUACAGUGCUCCACCAUGAGAGGAACAUGCCUUGGACAGGUACUUCCCAUCAACAUAGUCCCAGAACGAAGACACUUGGAACAGACUUGAACUGAACCUACAGCCAGGAGCCAAGACUGGCAGAUCCACACUCUGAAAGAGCUCUAGAUUAGCUGGAUCUUAUCAUGUACGGAUCCACAAAGCAGAUUUCCUUUUACCUCAGCAUCUGUUUAUCUUGGCUGAAAGCAUGUGAAUUAAUGGAAAGAAACUGCUCACCUUGAUGUUCAAGCACUGUGUGACAUAAUUUAGCAACAAUCAAGAUUCCUGUGACUUUCC